Molecule: transfer RNA, 76 nt
Filed under: Anaerosinus gibii
Lineage: Bacteria; Bacillati; Bacillota; Negativicutes; Selenomonadales; Sporomusaceae
Description: Selenomonadaceae bacterium ICN-92133 tRNA-His
Rfam family: tRNA
About the family: Transfer RNA (tRNA) molecules are approximately 80 nucleotides in length.
Source: RNAcentral
GUGGCUAUGGUGAAGUGGUUAACACGACGGAUUGUGGCUCCGUUACUCGUGGGUUCGAUUCCCACUAGUCACCCCA